CCUACGGGGGGCUGCAGUGGGGAAUAUUGGACAAUGGGCGAAAGCCUGAUCCAGCCAUGCCGCGUGUGUGAAGAAGGCCUUCGGGUUGUAAAGCACUUUCAGUGGGGAAGAAAGCCUUGGGGCUAAUACCCUCGAGGAAGGACAUCACCAACAGAAGAAGCACCGGCUAACUCCGUGCCAGCAGCCGCGGUAAUACGGAGGGUGCGAGCGUUAAUCGGAAUUACUGGGCGUAAAGCGCGCGUAGGCGGUCUGAUAAGCCGGUUGUGAAAGCCCCGGGCUCAACCUGGGAACGGCAUCCGGAACUGUCAGGCUAGAGUGCAGGAGAGGAAGGUAGAAUUCCCGGUGUAGCGGUGAAAUGCGUAGAGAUCGGGAGGAAUACCAGUGGCGAAGGCGGCCUUCUGGACUGACACUGACGCUGAGGUGCGAAAGCGUGGGUAGCAAACAGGAUUAGAUACCCUAGUAGUC
RNAcentral lists this ribosomal RNA (465 nucleotides) under Vreelandella stevensii. RNAcentral's name for it is "partial 16S ribosomal RNA". It matches the Rfam family "Bacterial small subunit ribosomal RNA", at positions 338 to 795 of the family's 1533-position model. Lineage: Bacteria; Pseudomonadati; Pseudomonadota; Gammaproteobacteria; Oceanospirillales; Halomonadaceae. The record is from RNAcentral.